Molecule: ribosomal RNA, 253 nt
Filed under: uncultured bacterium
Lineage: Bacteria
Description: partial 16S ribosomal RNA
Rfam family: Bacterial small subunit ribosomal RNA
Source: RNAcentral
UACGAAGGGGGCUAGCGUUGCUCGGAAUCACUGGGCGUAAAGCGCACGUAGGCGGAUUGUUAAGUCAGGGGUGAAAUCCUGGAGCUCAACUCCAGAACUGCCUUUGAUACUGGCGAUCUCGAGUCCGGGAGAGGUGAGUGGAACUGCGAGUGUAGAGGUGAAAUUCGUAGAUAUUCGCAAGAACACCAGUGGCGAAGGCGGCUCACUGGCCCGGUACUGACGCUGAGACGCGAAAGCGUGGGGAGCAAACAGG